AGAUUGAACGCUGGCGGCAGGCCUAACACAUGCAAGUCGAGCGGUAGAGAGGUGCUUGCACCUCUUGAGAGCGGCGGACGGGUGAGUAAUGCCUAGGAAUCUGCCUAGUGGUGGGGGAUAACGUUCGGAAACGGACGCUAAUACCGCAUACGUCCUACGGGAGAAAGCGGGGGACCUUCGGGCCUCGCGCCAUUAGAUGAGCCUAGGUCGGAUUAGCUAGUUGGUGAGGUAAUGGCUCACCAAGGCGACGAUCCGUAACUGGUCUGAGAGGAUGAUCAGUCACACUGGAACUGAGACACGGUCCAGACUCCUACGGGAGGCAGCAGUGGGAAUAUUGGACAAUGGGCGAAAGCCUGAUCCAGCCAUGCCGCGUGUGUGAAGAAGGUCUUCGGAUUGUAAAAGCAACUUUAAGUUGGAGGAAGGUUGUAACUUAAUACGUUGCAACUUUGACGUUACGACAGAAUAAGCACCGGCUAACUUCGUGCAGCAGCCGCGGUAA
RNAcentral lists this ribosomal RNA (499 nucleotides) under uncultured soil bacterium. RNAcentral describes it as "bacterial SSU rRNA". It matches the Rfam family "Bacterial small subunit ribosomal RNA", at positions 26 to 523 of the family's 1533-position model. The record is from RNAcentral.